RNAcentral lists this long non-coding RNA (201 nucleotides) under Homo sapiens (human). Its description in RNAcentral is "non-protein coding lnc-DMXL2-3:1". The record is from RNAcentral. Lineage: Eukaryota; Metazoa; Chordata; Mammalia; Primates; Hominidae.
CCAGCGAAAUACCUCUUUAAUGCUUAAUGUGGCAGUCACCUUUGGAUCUGACUUCCCUUCUGACAGUUCACCACCCUGUGAACUGGUUCCAUUGUCUUCCCUGGAAAGGUAGUUCCCUUUCUUAGCCUCCUAUUCACUUCUGUUGGCCUCUUUUUCCUUCCUGCUGUUUCUCCUAAAACAUUUUGCUGGCCUUCAAUAAUA